Long non-coding RNA from Solanum verrucosum, 878 nucleotides. RefSeq lists it as uncharacterized. Lineage: Eukaryota; Viridiplantae; Streptophyta; Magnoliopsida; Solanales; Solanaceae. The record is from RefSeq and is a predicted model, not a curated record. The transcript is spliced from 2 exons.
AAGAUAUCACUGAAUAUUACAUCCAGGCGAGUUCUUAAGUUUAUUUACUGGUCUUUGAGAAUCAAGAUUGAACGUCAUCCAGUUUUUCAUAUCAAAAUGAUAGAUAGAGAUGGAAGCUGGAUUCAUCAAGAACACCAUCAAACUAGCAGAUCAGGUGGAAAAUAUGUCAUUUAUUUUCUACUCCAUGUAAAAGCUGAAUGUUUAGUAAUGGAUAUAGAUGUAUAUUUGCUAUUUAAUGUUUUUCCUGAAAGCUAUUAGAAAGAAAGCACUGUCAACUUGAUCAAGUUGAAGCUUUUAGUGCAAUUACUUGCCUAGGCGUCCUGUAUAGGAACUAAUUGCAUUUUGCCUCCGUAAGUCUCCGGAAGCUGGCUUUCAUCAAUAUCUUGAAGUAAGGUUGCUGUCAGUCGUUUGUUUUCCACAAACAUGAUCUGUGAAGAUGGAAAAUAGUUUGGUGAGGAUGAUGUAAUACAAGUUGUAAUCAAGUCUCUCACAAAGUUAUCCUCGACAUCAACUGCAAGUAUGACUUAACUCUAGAACUGAUUCAUCCACCUUUUAUGUGAAACACAAUUAUUUUAGAACCUCACCUUUUUCUUGGUGUGGUUGUCUAUGAAAGGAUACAAAAUCUUCCAUAAUGUGCAAAAUAUGUAAGGAACAUGAACAAGAAGUACUUUGCCAAGUCUUUCCGGGUAGCAAUCCUGCAAAAUAGAUGUCUCUUAGAUGAUGGACAAAAACAGGGUAAGCCUCUAUCUGAAUAACUAGACAGUAUUGGUGACUAAACCUGCACGAUGGAUAGGGCCGCAAGAUAGGCACGGACGUCACUGUUACAAUAGCCAAAAUUUUGGAGAUCUCCGAUUAUUGUGAACUUCUCUCUUCCUGGU